Small nucleolar RNA from Magnolia sinica, 108 nucleotides. NCBI's taxonomy places the organism in Eukaryota, Viridiplantae, Streptophyta, Magnoliopsida, Magnoliales, Magnoliaceae. The record is from RefSeq and is a predicted model, not a curated record.
UAGCUAUGGUGUAGGCAAGUGAGAAGUAAAUCCUUAAACCAUUCCCAACACUGGAAAAAAGUUUUCAUCUCCUUUUUGGGAGAAUUUCAUAAUCUCACCCCUGAGAGU